This 2758-nucleotide ribosomal RNA is filed under the name Klebsiella quasipneumoniae subsp. similipneumoniae. RNAcentral's name for it is "bacterial LSU rRNA". It matches the Rfam family "Bacterial large subunit ribosomal RNA". Lineage: Bacteria; Pseudomonadati; Pseudomonadota; Gammaproteobacteria; Enterobacterales; Enterobacteriaceae. The record is from RNAcentral.
CACUAUCGUUAACUGAAUACAUAGGUUAACGAGGCGAACCGGGGGAACUGAAACAUCUAAGUACCCCGAGGAAAAGAAAUCAACCGAGAUUCCCCCAGUAGCGGCGAGCGAACGGGGAGCAGCCCAGAGUCUGAAUCAGCUUGUGUGUUAGUGGAACGGUCUGGAAAGUCCGACGGUACAGGGUGAUAGUCCCGUACACCAAAAUGCACAGGCUGUGAACUCGAAGAGUAGGGCGGGACACGUGGUAUCCUGUCUGAAUAUGGGGGGACCAUCCUCCAAGGCUAAAUACUCCUGACUGACCGAUAGUGAACCAGUACCGUGAGGGAAAGGCGAAAAGAACCCCGGCGAGGGGAGUGAAAAAGAACCUGAAACCGUGUACGUACAAGCAGUGGGAGCACCUUCGGGUGUGACUGCGUACCUUUUGUAUAAUGGGUCAGCGACUUAUAUUCUGUAGCAAGGUUAACCGUAUAGGGGAGCCGCAGGGAAACCGAGUCUUAACUGGGCGUUAAGUUGCAGGGUAUAGACCCGAAACCCGGUGAUCUAGCCAUGGGCAGGUUGAAGGUUGGGUAACACUAACUGGAGGACCGAACCGACUAAUGUUGAAAAAUUAGCGGAUGACUUGUGGCUGGGGGUGAAAGGCCAAUCAAACCGGGAGAUAGCUGGUUCUCCCCGAAAGCUAUUUAGGUAGCGCCUCGUGAACUCAUCUUCGGGGGUAGAGCACUGUUUCGGCUAGGGGGUCAUCCCGACUUACCAACCCGAUGCAAACUACGAAUACCGAAGAAUGUUAUCACGGGAGACACACGGCGGGUGCUAACGUCCGUCGUGAAGAGGGAAACAACCCAGACCGCCAGCUAAGGUCCCAAAGUCAUGGUUAAGUGGGAAACGAUGUGGGAAGGCACAGACAGCCAGGAUGUUGGCUUAGAAGCAGCCAUCAUUUAAAGAAAGCGUAAUAGCUCACUGGUCGAGUCGGCCUGCGCGGAAGAUGUAACGGGGCUAAACCAUGCACCGAAGCUGCGGCAGCGACACGAUGUGUUGUUGGGUAGGGGAGCGUUCUGUAAGCCUGCGAAGGUGACCUGUGAGGGUUGCUGGAGGUAUCAGAAGUGCGAAUGCUGACAUAAGUAACGAUAAAGCGGGUGAAAAGCCCGCUCGCCGGAAGACCAAGGGUUCCUGUCCAACGUUAAUCGGGGCAGGGUGAGUCGACCCCUAAGGCGAGGCCGAAAGGCGUAGUCGAUGGGAAACAGGUUAAUAUUCCUGUACUUGGUGUUACUGCGAAGGGGGGACGGAGAAGGCUAUGUUAGCCGGGCGACGGUUGUCCCGGUUUAAGCAUGUAGGCUGGUUAUCCAGGCAAAUCCGGAUAAUCAAGGCUGAGGUGUGAUGACGAGGCACUACGGUGCUGAAGUAACAAAUGCCCUGCUUCCAGGAAAAGCCUCUAAGCAUCAGGUAACAUCAAAUCGUACCCCAAACCGACACAGGUGGUCAGGUAGAGAAUACCAAGGCGCUUGAGAGAACUCGGGUGAAGGAACUAGGCAAAAUGGUGCCGUAACUUCGGGAGAAGGCACGCUGGUGUGUAGGUGAAGCCCCUGCGGGUGGAGCUGAGACCAGUCGAAGAUACCAGCUGGCUGCAACUGUUUAUUAAAAACACAGCACUGUGCAAACACGAAAGUGGACGUAUACGGUGUGACGCCUGCCCGGUGCCGGAAGGUUAAUUGAUGGGGUUAUCCGUAAGGAGAAGCUCUUGAUCGAAGCCCCGGUAAACGGCGGCCGUAACUAUAACGGUCCUAAGGUAGCGAAAUUCCUUGUCGGGUAAGUUCCGACCUGCACGAAUGGCGUAAUGAUGGCCAGGCUGUCUCCACCCGAGACUCAGUGAAAUUGAACUCGCUGUGAAGAUGCAGUGUACCCGCGGCAAGACGGAAAGACCCCGUGAACCUUUACUAUAGCUUGACACUGAACAUUGAGCCUUGAUGUGUAGGAUAGGUGGGAGGCUUUGAAGCGUGGACGCCAGUCUGCGUGGAGCCAACCUUGAAAUACCACCCUUUAAUGUUUGAUGUUCUAACGUUGGCCCCUUAUCGGGGUUGCGGACAGUGUCUGGUGGGUAGUUUGACUGGGGCGGUCUCCUCCCAAAGCGUAACGGAGGAGCACGAAGGUUAGCUAAUCCUGGUCGGACAUCAGGAGGUUAGUGCAAUGGCAUAAGCUAGCUUGACUGCGAGCGUGACGGCGCGAGCAGGUGCGAAAGCAGGUCAUAGUGAUCCGGUGGUUCUGAAUGGAAGGGCCAUCGCUCAACGGAUAAAAGGUACUCCGGGGAUAACAGGCUGAUACCGCCCAAGAGUUCAUAUCGACGGCGGUGUUUGGCACCUCGAUGUCGGCUCAUCACAUCCUGGGGCUGAAGUAGGUCCCAAGGGUAUGGCUGUUCGCCAUUUAAAGUGGUACGCGAGCUGGGUUUAGAACGUCGUGAGACAGUUCGGUCCCUAUCUGCCGUGGGCGCUGGAGAAUUGAGGGGGGCUGCUCCUAGUACGAGAGGACCGGAGUGGACGCAUCACUGGUGUUCGGGUUGUCAUGCCAAUGGCACUGCCCGGUAGCUAAAUGCGGAAGAGAUAAGUGCUGAAAGCAUCUAAGCACGAAACUUGCCCCGAGAUGAGUUCUCCCUGAGACUUUAAGUCUCCUGAAGGAACGUUAAAGACGAUGACGUUGAUAGGCCGGGUGUGUAAGCGCAGCGAUGCGUUGAGCUAACCGGUACUAAUGAACCGUGAGGCUUAACCUU